AGCUCGACGGGGUCGACCGCCCGCGUCACGACGAGAUAGUCCCGCAUGACGAUGCCGUGCCGGUUCUC
RNAcentral lists this small RNA (68 nucleotides) under uncultured Rhodococcus sp. Its description in RNAcentral is "ASdes TB sRNA". It matches the Rfam family "ASdes TB sRNA". Lineage: Bacteria; Bacillati; Actinomycetota; Actinomycetes; Mycobacteriales; Nocardiaceae. The record is from RNAcentral.